UCCACCUCCACAAGACACUUG
Molecule: microRNA, 21 nt
Filed under: Picea abies (Norway spruce)
Lineage: Eukaryota; Viridiplantae; Streptophyta; Pinopsida; Pinales; Pinaceae
Description: pab-miR11466b
Source: miRBase by way of RNAcentral